RNAcentral lists this ribosomal RNA (534 nucleotides) under uncultured Acidobacteriota bacterium. RNAcentral describes it as "uncultured Acidobacteria bacterium partial 16S ribosomal RNA". Lineage: Bacteria; Pseudomonadati; Acidobacteriota. The record is from RNAcentral.
CAUAUGGUCGACCUGCAGGCGGCCGCGAAUUCACUAGUGAUUCGUAUUACCGCGGCUGCUGACACAUGAUCAAACGCAGCUGCUUCCGCGGCCGUCAUUACGUCCUGCCGAAAGAGCUUUACACCCCGAAGGGCUUCAUCGUCACGCGGCGUCGCUGCAUCAGGGUUGCCCCCAUUGUGCAAGAUUCCCCACUGCUGCCUCCCGUAGGAGUCUGGCCCGUGUUUCAGUGCCAGUGUGGCCGUGUGCCCUCUCAGGCCGGCUACCGAUCUAUGCCUUGGUAGGCUCUUACCCUACCAACUAGCUAAUCGGCCGCGGGCUCCUCCUUCAGCGCAUUGCUGCUUUCCUCUCUCGAGCUUAUGCGGUAUUAGCGCCGGUUUCCCAGCGUUAUUCCCCACUAAAGGGUAGAUCACCCACGUGUUACGCACCCGUACGCCACUGUACUUGCGAUAUUGCCCGCUUUCUCGUGGACUUGCAUUGUUAAGUGCGCCGCCAGCGUUGAUUCUGAGCCAUGAUCAAACUCUAAUCGAAUUCCCG